RNAcentral lists this transfer RNA (71 nucleotides) under Pseudomonadota bacterium. Its description in RNAcentral is "tRNA-Gly". It matches the Rfam family "tRNA". From Rfam's summary of the family: Transfer RNA (tRNA) molecules are approximately 80 nucleotides in length. RNAcentral also lists the same sequence under 1 other name. Lineage: Bacteria; Pseudomonadati; Pseudomonadota. The record is from RNAcentral.
GCGGCUGUUGCAUAGUGGUAAUGCCCGAGCCUUCCAAGCUCGAGUCGAGGGUUCGAUUCCCUCCAGCCGCU